UACGUAGGGGGCUAGCGUUGUCCGGAAUCAUUGGGCGUAAAGCGCGUGUAGGCGGCCCGGUAAGUCCGCUGUGAAAGUCGAGGGCUCAACCCUCGAAAGCCGGUGGAAACCGUCUGGCUAGAGUCCGGAAGAGGAGUGUGGAAUUCCUGGUGUAGCGGUGAAAUGCGCAGAUAUCAGGAAGAACACCUAUGGCGAAGGCAGCACUCUGGGACGGUACUGACGCUGAGACGCGAAAGCGUGGGGAGCGAACAGG
This 253-nucleotide ribosomal RNA is filed under the name uncultured bacterium. RNAcentral describes it as "partial 16S ribosomal RNA". It matches the Rfam family "Bacterial small subunit ribosomal RNA", at positions 524 to 776 of the family's 1533-position model. The record is from RNAcentral.